Clarias gariepinus (North African catfish) is the source of this 83-nucleotide non-coding RNA. Lineage: Eukaryota; Metazoa; Chordata; Actinopteri; Siluriformes; Clariidae. The record is from the annotation of a RefSeq genome assembly.
GUCAGGAUGGCCAAGCGGUCUAAGGCACUGUGUUCAGGUCGCAAUUUCUUCUGGAGGUGUGGGUUCGAAUCCCACUUUUGACA